UACGUAGGGGGCGAGCGUUGUCCGGAUUUAUUGGGCGUAAAGAGCGUGUAGGCGGUUCGGUAAGUCUGUCGUGAAAUCCUGAGGCUCAACCUCGGGCGUGCGAUGGAUACUGCCGGGCUAGAGGGGUGGUAGAGGCGAGUGGAAUUCCCGGUGUAGCGGUGAAAUGCGUAGAUAUCUGGAGGAAUACCGGUGGCGAAGGCGGCAUCCUGGAGCCGGCAUUGACGCUGAGGAGCGAAAGCUGAGGGGAGCAAACGGG
This 256-nucleotide ribosomal RNA is filed under the name uncultured bacterium. RNAcentral's name for it is "partial 16S ribosomal RNA". It matches the Rfam family "Bacterial small subunit ribosomal RNA", at positions 524 to 776 of the family's 1533-position model. The record is from RNAcentral.